This 365-nucleotide long non-coding RNA is filed under the name Aquilegia coerulea. Its description in RNAcentral is "long non-coding RNA (ACOE_LNC001061)". Lineage: Eukaryota; Viridiplantae; Streptophyta; Magnoliopsida; Ranunculales; Ranunculaceae. The record is from RNAcentral.
CCAAAUGUCUUUAAAGAAAGUCUUGGCUCUACCAUAGUAGUCUUGGCUAAUUUAUGGAACCAAUCAGUUUUUGCUCAUCGCAAUCACAAUAAACAUAGACGAAGCUACUCCAAAGAGUCUGAUGUGCUGCAAGUUUUUAAACAUCCCUGUCUGGAAUCGAAUUUUCCAUAUCAAGAUUUGGAUUACUGCAAAAAUGUAAAACAAGAACAACAUGAGAAAAAUAAAAAGAUGUAAUUCAGAUUAAAGUUUACUGAUAUUACUAACUUGAAAGAGAGUAUAUGUCUGACAAACUUAGCUGAGUAGCAGAGUAGGCAGACGGUACAAUGGUUUAUAGUACGUACCAUCUCAUGUUAUUGAUGUUACGC